Nothobranchius furzeri (turquoise killifish) is the source of this 1589-nucleotide non-coding RNA. NCBI's taxonomy places the organism in Eukaryota, Metazoa, Chordata, Actinopteri, Cyprinodontiformes, Nothobranchiidae. The record is from RefSeq and is a predicted model, not a curated record.
ACAUUUUAAGUGUCUAAGUGAGCAAAAAGGCUUAUAUUAUUCACUGGAGUUGCUAUUUAGAUAUUUAAUAAUUAAGUUUUGGGCAUAUUUGUCCACCCGUUCAGUUUUUACAUUAUCUAUUACAUCAGUAAUUAAUUUAGUCAGGAUAACUACCAAAUAUGGUAAUGGCCCUCGGCAAAACACAGAGCCAAUCUGCCAUUUUUUCUUCUCGCUAAGAUUUUUUGUAGUCCUAUUGGAAAAAUGCAGAAUGUCUGGUUAUUUUAGCCACACACAGCUCAAAACUGUUCCUCGUUUUAAGGAAGGGUGGUGUGGCAGUAUUUAAACCCAGGAGCUGAUGACACUACUGCUAAAAAAACACAGAAGAAAAAGUAGUGUGUUUGUGUGUGUGCGCGCGUGGUUCGUUCGUUCGUGUCUCCAGGCUAGUAAGUACUGAGGGCUUCAUCUAUCUAAAAGGAGUCAUUUGCAUCUGAAUGUGGCAGCACCGGGACACAGCAGCAGAGCGAGUCAACAUCCAGAAGACUGGAGCCGUGUUUCACUGACAGGCUGUCAGACUAACGCCCUGAUGAGCUCAGCUGGGACAAACUGGUCUGAUGUUUAGGAACACAGAACGUUCAGAUGUUGGCGUUUCACGUCACCUACUGAGGAAGGAGACCCACCAGUAAAGAGAUGGUAGCUGGACCAGACCAAAAAUAUGACGAUGACAUCAUGGAACUGGUCUUUGGAAAAGUUUUCCCUGAACCAACUCCGUUUUUAGAUGAGGUAGAGAAGAUCUGCAUCUCACCAACUCUCUGGUCUCAGUAUUCAGACAACGGAGGUCUCCCACUGUUAUCCAGGACCAGUUUGAAGCCCACAUACUGCCCCUCCCUCAUCACCAGGAAACAUCAAUCCGUAUCCUGAGGACAACAGAAGACGGCAGGAGGACAGGAACUCUGAGACCUAGAUACCACCAGCACCGAGACACAAAUUACCUGUGUGCACAACGCCUGUUUAACUACUAAAGCCUGUUUAUUAUAUUGUUCUACUCAUUUGCUGUGAGGUUAAUACUUAGAAAAUUUGUAUAUUAAUGUAAACAAUUUAAAAAAAUCACUGAUUGUAUGUUUUCUUUUAGAUGUAAUGGUCCAAACUCCGCCUUGUAGACAUUUAUUGCAUCCUGUAGGUAAAUACACAGAACAGGCUCAGAUCCAGGAUGACCCAGCAUGCUCUUCUUCCAUUCUGGCUGUUAGGGAUUUUAUCAAUAACUCAAUGCCUACUGAUGUUUUCACCUAACGGUAUUUAUUUAGAAUGCAGGUAAGAUUUAACUAUAUUUGUUAGCAAAGCAGACUGAUCUUGGGAAUUUCACUGCAGCACUGAUGUCCACCUCUCUGUACACAUUAGAGAGAAUUACCACUUUACAGCUAAACACAUUUAAUAAAGAUAUAGGCUACGCAUUGCAGACAAUAAAAACAAAGUUGUAAGCAUUAGAAGUAUAAUGAUCACAUUAAAGAACAUUUGGAGGAAUGUUCUUUAUUUUUGACUAGAAUCUCAAAUCUUUAAAUUAAAAUGUAACUGCUUUUUAUCCAUUUUCAGCCAUUAAGACACCCAAUAUAAAA